Apus apus (common swift) is the source of this 1524-nucleotide long non-coding RNA. RefSeq lists it as uncharacterized. Lineage: Eukaryota; Metazoa; Chordata; Aves; Apodiformes; Apodidae. The record is from RefSeq and is a predicted model, not a curated record. The transcript is spliced from 4 exons.
CGGGAGCGGGGCCGGGAGCGGGGCCGGGAGCGGCCUUUUCCGGAGCAGGGAGACCCCCCCCGCCCCGCCUCCCCGCCGGCCGUGGCCCGGCCCUGCAGGCGCGGGCUGCCGGCUUUCCCGCAGAGCCCGGCCCCGGGCGGCAGGGGCGAGCCGGGCCGCUGAGGGGAGGCGGGCGCGGGGCCGCGGCCCUGAAGCGGCGUGACCCGGGGCAUGAAACCCCGCCGCGGUCCCUCCCCUGCCGCCCUCAGUCCAGCGCUUGCUCCCGGCAGUCCGGAGGCCGCGCGGCCGUGGCCCCGAGCUGGCCGGGGCUGCAGCUCCUGACGCUGGAGCUCUAGACGCAGGCAGUGCUGUGCCGUAGCUGCUGAGCGUUUGUUGGCACCUCUUGGGAUGGCUAAGGAAUGGAUUGUCUUGACCCACUCGUGCAUUAAGAACCAUCACCACCUGCAGAGAGCAGUGCUGUACUGGGAAGUGUACACCCUCCUCAGCAGCUGCUCAGCUCUUUACCUAAUACGUGACAUGCAAAGUCUAAACUUGAAUAAAUUAACAACAGCACUAUUCCAGAAAUCCACUUCUAUGAACAAGUCAAAUGCCCUCUGAGCAGGAACUGCUAUGAGAUUAUGCCUGCACAGGUGGGAAAACUCAGAAGCUGCAAAGUAAGAAACAGAAUAAAAAGCCAGAACCAAAUAAGGCCCUUGAAGUCUGCCAACAAGGUUAAACAUCGUGCACCAACUGUGACACCUCUGAGACACACUUAAGUCAUCAGCACUUGGCUGAGGAAGUCAAUUUUAAGUACAAAGAUGUAUAGAAGACGUAAAACAAAAUGCUUCCUUUCAACAGCUCCUGCUCUGUUGUUUCCAUCUGGACUGCUUCAGAGAUAAUACAGCUUACAAGAGCAAGUCUUACCAUCCCAUACCAGGCACAAUGGUUAUUUAGUUUUGAAAAUGAGUUAGCUGAACAAGCCACAAGACUGGUUGCAGAGAACGUCUCCAAGUAGGCGGAUCCAGACUUAACAAAUGUUCCCAGAAUCAUCCUCCAAAUUUCAGCUUUACUACAGAGCUAAGUUUCUGUUUCUGAAGAUGGAAAUAGUAGGUAUAAACACGUAACACCUCAUCAAAACUCAGUUCAUACGAAGACCACCAUAAGCCACUAGUUUUCAAAGCCUGUGAGUAUUCAAAACCAUAAACAUAUCCUGGUGUAGACCCUGGUAGAAAAUCCAGGCUAGUUGGCAAUCCAUUUGUUUUCCUUAGUUGCCAUUUACAGACUCUCUCGAAUCCACAAAUAAGAAUUUUAAACGCUAUCAUUGACUUAACUUGUUCUCUCCGGGCAUAAAAGGAACGCUUAAAAAUAAAAAUCAUAAUGCUAAGUAAAGAAACACAUUAUUUUAAGUACUACCUAUUAAACAAGUAUUAGCUUGCCACCCGUUUCACUGUUGUAUUACUAAUUUUUGAUAAGCCCUCCCAUAGAAAAUACUUGUUAAAAAAAUAACCCUCAUUCCGUAAUAUAUAUUUUAAAUAUUUCUUACUA